AACAUGGUUGUGAGGAAAAUUUAGCAAAAUUUACUUUAAUCUAAAAUUAUAUUUUUGCGCUUGGCAAAAAAGUAGACGUUAGUGUAGGCACUUUUUCUUGAAAAUCUUGAGGAGCGCAGACACCUUUUUCAGACUUUUUACGAUAGUUAGACCAAGAACGAAUAUAAGGAAAAAAUGUUACCACAUGUUAAGUGACUACUAAGUUUCAAGAUUUCAAGCCUAAGUGAAUAUUGGACCACAAACAGAGUGAAGUGAGGAGAAACUAUUUCUGUAGAGAAGAUGUUGCCUCUGUUUUAGUUAAGUUACCAACUGACGAGAGAGACAUCGCGAGGAGAGAUUGCCUGACUGACUUGGAAAUAGCGGUCUGUACAGAGCUCAGAGGGAAUGGAUAUCUUCAGUCACUGCCUUUUGGAGAGCUCCUUAAGACUCCCGGGGAAACACCAGUGGUGGUAAAAUUUCAAGAAGGUGAAAGGUGACACGAAAUGUGAGAAUUUCGGCUGUUUUGAGAGGAAUCUCCAGAAAGAAUUGAACCAUAUGAAAUUGCUGCUUUGUGGAUCAGACACAGAGUCAAAGACUCACACAACUGUAAGAAGGUAGGAGUGAAGGCCAGGAAGGCCUCUUUUGAGAAAUCAGAAAAUGCAAGAAUUGCAGGUAAG
This is a long non-coding RNA of Camelus dromedarius (Arabian camel), 656 nucleotides long. RefSeq lists it as uncharacterized. The transcript has 4 exons. NCBI's taxonomy places the organism in Eukaryota, Metazoa, Chordata, Mammalia, Artiodactyla, Camelidae. The record is from RefSeq and is a predicted model, not a curated record.